AAACACGGCGUAUCUAUCCUCUAGCGGUAUAACCGCAUGUUUUUCUGACUACAGCGUCUGCACCCUCGUGGCUUCCUUUCUUAAAAGCGGCAUUAGUCUGAUGAAGGCACAGAGUUGCCGAAACGUUACCACCUCGCCGCAGCAACCGACUUUGAAUUCCUAA
Long non-coding RNA from Bufo bufo (common toad), 163 nucleotides. RefSeq lists it as uncharacterized. The record is from RefSeq and is a predicted model, not a curated record. The transcript has 2 exons. NCBI's taxonomy places the organism in Eukaryota, Metazoa, Chordata, Amphibia, Anura, Bufonidae.